Molecule: ribosomal RNA, 562 nt
Filed under: Micrococcus terreus
Lineage: Bacteria; Bacillati; Actinomycetota; Actinomycetes; Micrococcales; Micrococcaceae
Description: bacterial SSU rRNA
Rfam family: Bacterial small subunit ribosomal RNA
Source: RNAcentral
UGGCUCAGGAUGAACGCUGGCGGCGUGCUUAACACAUGCAAGUCGAACGAUGAAGCCCAGCUUGCUGGGUGGAUUAGUGGCGAACGGGUGAGUAACACGUGAGUAACCUGCCCUUGACUCUGGGAUAAGCCUGGGAAACUGGGUCUAAUACUGGAUAUGACUUCUCACCGCAUGGUGGGGGGUGGAAAGAUUUAUUGGUCUUGGAUGGACUCGCGGCCUAUCAGCUUGUUGGUGAGGUAAUGGCUCACCAAGGCGACGACGGGUAGCCGGCCUGAGAGGGUGACCGGCCACACUGGGACUGAGACACGGCCCAGACUCCUACGGGAGGCAGCAGUGGGGAAUAUUGCACAAUGGGCGCAAGCCUGAUGCAGCGACGCCGCGUGAGGGAUGACGGCCUUCGGGUUGUAAACCUCUUUCAGUAGGGAAGAAGCGAAAGUGACGGUACCUGCAGAAGAAGCGCCGGCUAACUACGUGCCAGCAGCCGCGGUAAUACGUAGGGCGCGAGCGUUAUCCGGAAUUAUUGGGCGUAAAGAGCUCGUAGGCGGUUUGUCGCGUCUGCCGU